GCGACACUAGCUCAGUUGGUAGAGCGCAACCUUGCCAAGGUUGAGGUCACGAGGUUCGAACCUCGUGUGUCGCUCCA
Molecule: transfer RNA, 77 nt
Filed under: Vibrio parahaemolyticus
Lineage: Bacteria; Pseudomonadati; Pseudomonadota; Gammaproteobacteria; Vibrionales; Vibrionaceae
Description: tRNA-Gly
Rfam family: tRNA
About the family: Transfer RNA (tRNA) molecules are approximately 80 nucleotides in length.
Source: RNAcentral